CCGAGAAAAAUGCGAUGAAAAAUGUGAGAAAAGCAAAGCGAGUACGCAAAUGUUUCUCUCUGCAUAGGAAGGAGAGGAGAAAGACGAACAAGUUGGACUGAUUCGAAAGAAAGCAUUCCUUAACACACACUCUGCCUCUCUCUUUCUUUCUCUUUGGGUCGUAAUCCUUGUCGUUUUAUUAUAUUCCUCUGCGGUGCGGCCAAUCAACCAACCAGCACAAGAAACAUAUUAUGCAGAGGUCGUGGAGUGGUAGUGUUUGGCGUAAGACAUCGACAUCGUUAUCCUUGACGCCCGACAACAUGGACUCCGACCAACACCUACCCACAUACGAUCCCCUCUCCCACGUUGCCCAGAGAGACCUCUCUCGUCUCAGAUCAGCUCAAAACGCCGUCCAUCUUAUCCCUCUCCUCGUUCUCCUCUGCGCCGUCAUCCUCUGGUUCUUCUCUGCUCCCACUUCUUCACCCAACAACCACUCUUCAUAAAUAAAUCAAGAUUUGAUGGACUAUUUCAGACUAUGGUCAACGUUUGAUUCAUUAUACACGGAGGUCAGCGUAUAUGUAUGUAUUAGGUUGACUUUUCUACGAGUCUCGUGAAGGAAGCUACAGUGAAGAAAAUCAGACCUGAUGCCAGAAGAAUUUUUUUUUUUUGUCAUAUAUCAUGUACUUGCCCUGGAAUCUAGAUAGAAAAUUUAUCGGAUUGUGUUGUAAUAGAUUGGUGUAUGUUUAUUCAUUCAGACCCUCUUCAAUUUUGACUCUAUUACAAAACUUUUUUGCUUUAUUCGAAGGAAA
This is a long non-coding RNA of Glycine soja, 788 nucleotides long. RefSeq lists it as uncharacterized. Lineage: Eukaryota; Viridiplantae; Streptophyta; Magnoliopsida; Fabales; Fabaceae. The transcript has 2 exons. The record is from RefSeq and is a predicted model, not a curated record.